UGUGGGAUAGAGCAGAGGUAGCUCACUAGGCUCAUAACCUAGAGGUCAUAGGUUCGAUUCCUAUUCCCGCAA
RNAcentral lists this transfer RNA (72 nucleotides) under Bacteriophage sp. Its description in RNAcentral is "tRNA-Met". It matches the Rfam family "tRNA". Rfam says of the family: Transfer RNA (tRNA) molecules are approximately 80 nucleotides in length. Their secondary structure includes four short double-helical elements and three loops (D, anti-codon, and T loops). The record is from RNAcentral. RNAcentral also lists the same sequence under 1 other name.